RNAcentral lists this long non-coding RNA (4739 nucleotides) under Strigops habroptila (Kakapo). RNAcentral's name for it is "lncRNA (ENSSHBG00005004467.1)". The record is from RNAcentral. Lineage: Eukaryota; Metazoa; Chordata; Aves; Psittaciformes; Psittacidae.
AGUGGUCAUCAGUAGGCUUCGGACUUAGCAGUUACUGUGACUGGUCGUGCCUCUCAGCCUGUUUACAGGUGCAGAAAGGCUGUAUUGCCAUCAGCCAGUUCAGCUGUUGUCACAGCACUUUGAUAAGGAAAUAAUAAUUUUGAAAAUGCAUCAGACUGUUUUGCGUUCCUAACUUUAUGAACUUACUACUGUAGUGGAAACAAUAUGCAUGGACAGUUGCAAUAUGGGUACCCUACUGAAUAGGUUGGAGGGUGAUUGGCCAGUGUCUUACAGGAAAGUGAUACUAGAACAAAGUUUUACUUGUUUUCAUUUCUCUAUAGGCAAGCAAAUGUACACCUGGGACCACCAUGUUCAAGGGACAUCAAGAGGAAACGAAAGCCAGCUGCAACCUCCAUGUCCAGCCCAACAUCAGCAACUUUAUCUGUCCACAUGGAUGCAGCAGAGUCAGAGCUACCAGCAACACCGUCCCUGAGAUCCCAGAACUCUGAAUCGACAGGGAAAACACCAGCAGCCGAGAAAGCCACUAUUGCUGCCUCCAGUAACUUUUUUAAAAUGCCACCAGAGAAGAGCCCUGGAUACAGCUAAAAAGCAGCAUUGCAACUGUAAAAGCUUGGAUUUUGGAAGUGUUUGACUCUGUGUGUCUCCACCAAACAUCUUGUUUGGUGGUAGUGAUAAUCUUCAGUAUUGGCGCGUGAUGCCUGGCAUCAUCCAGACUGAUCUGUGUGCCCUACACACCUAAACCAUGUUUGUGAAUCUGUGUUUAAAAAAAAAAGGUAAUUGGUGUUGGGACCGCAGUAGCUUUUAAAAAUAUUCUUGCUAUUGUUGUAUUUAUUAUGCAUUCAUCUCUUUCCCUGCUGCCAGCUCAUAUAUGCUGGGUCUUGUACAGAUUCUUCUGGGUUUUCGGAUCUUUAUUCACCCCCUGGACAUGUUGCUUGUUUGUGCAUUUAGUGUUUUUUAGGCGAAAGUCCCCCUGCCGCUCAGGGAGGCAAAAGUCUCCCCCUGUUUUUUUGGCUGGGGAAUGAGGAGGGAAUGCAAACAAGUUGAAACAUGAAACCUGAAUUCUGCAUUAGCAGAAUGUUUUCAGGCCAUGUGCUAAUGGACUCAAAUCAUGUUGCUUCUAGUGAAGCAAAUACGGUGCUUGUCCAUUCAGAAAUUGCCAUUGGCUCCCUGGCAGCAUGAUCUGUUAGACCUUUUCCUUCUCCCUUGUUCUGAAUGUCUUUAGUCUUGCUUGUGUAUUGCAUGGUCUUUCCUAAAUCUCCUACUGGAUAAGGAAUUGGGAAAACUACUUGGACAUAAAUGUCCAAGCUGGUGUAUUCGAAGGGAACCUGGGCCCUUAAUAUCCUUGCAGUAUGGUAGAGGAUAUACAAAAUUCCAAUUUCUCAGUGUAUAAAUUACAAAAUGACUGUUAGCGUUUCUAAAGGAUCCUUGCCAUAGAAGUUAACAUGCCAUUGAACAAAAAAGCCAUUUAAAGUAUCACCUGAGUUCAGAAUAUUCUGGGUAUUGAUCAGACCACUUCUGUCUCAGUCCUUCCCUCCCUUCAGAAAGUAUUGUCUGCUCUCUCUUCUAGAGGUGUCUCCACCUACUGAUGAUUGUAUUUUGGAGCAUACACAAAAGAGAUUCUCUUCUCUUCAUAGCACUUCCACUUGUUCCCCUGUUAUUUUGUGUUGCAGAAUAUGGUGAUUUCUUCCCUCUCUUUUCUUGAAUUCUUGAUCGCACUCCCCUUACUUUUAAUUACUCUGUCUGAGGCUUAUUUUAAGCUAUGUUUUUAGAAUGUAUUCCUGCAUAGCUUGUGUCAAGGAACAGAUGGCCUCAUGGCUUCAGAAGUCCUUAAAAAGUAGGAUAUAUUUGUAUGCAUAGAACUUUUUUUGGUUUCUGUACUGGGUGGAGCUUUCAAACAAUAGCUUUUAAGCUUAUAAAUUUCAUUUUGAAUGUGGAGGUGCAGUUAGCACUUUUAAGUAGAUAAGAAAAUUUGCAUGGUUUUAGUGGUUUCAGAGUGUUCUGCUCUCCCUUAUCAUGAAAUAGCUGAGGGAAAGACUUGAGGUUGAGAAUAUAAAGCAGUGAUUUAUAUUUAACUCUCUAUUAAAAUGUUAAAUGCUCAUAACAUACACAAAAAUUGAAUGACUCGCUAAAUCAUGAUUGACAUAUAGUUAUACUAUAGACACACUGUCAGUGUCUCAUCCCCUAAAUACCUACUUAUUCUUGGGGAGACAUCUAAAUUGGAUUUAUAUUUCACAGCCCAAGCAAACUGCCAGAUCUGUCAUUGUAAAUCCCUCUCAAAACUGUUUUUUUUGGUGGUGGUACAUUUUUAGAACUAAUUAGAACAGGGAAAGCCUUUUUACCUUGCUGAAGGAGUACAGAGGUCUGUUUGGAUUAUGUAACAAGCUGUAAGGGUUUUGUGGAGAGAGGAGUGUUCCUGUUUUAAAGUAGUCAUUGAAUUGUCUUAUUUUGUAGGUAUUUUGAGCAGUGGUGCUUAAGAGGUGGCAGAGGAAGUCUUGGCACUGUACGGGCCUGGAGAUUACUGAAAUUACUGGAGGGUCUGUAAUUUAGAACAUUCAAAGAGAAGGUAAACCUGAGGAGUAGUAGCUUGACUAUCUAGUACUUAUGAACGCAGUGAAGGGGAAAGGUGGUCACAUUCUCCUGACAACCUGCAAAUAUAUUUUAGGAUUGGCAGCCUCAUAACCUAACUUUCAGGCUGCUUCAGUGACAGGGGGUGGUUCUCUAAAAUGUAUUUGUGCAAUUGAGUGGCUUUAUUCUCUGCAACCUCUCUUGGUUUGAGUCUUUUCAUUAAACUUCUUCAGAUUACUGAUCAUUUAGCUAAAAUUUUAAGUUUUGGCCUUUGUGUUCCGCUUUCUAAACCAGAUUCUGUUAUAUCCUGCUACAUUCUGAGUGUUGUUCAGAGUAGUUCUGUUUCUUCUGUGGUGUCAGGACAGUUUUAAAACUUUUAUAAGAGAGGUGUUUGGGAAUCUUCAUUGUGGCAGUGGAGGGGUUGCCAGGCUUCACAUGAUUUUCUCUAGGAGCAGGAAAGAUAACUUAUCAGAUUUUCCUAUUGGUGUCAGUAGCACUGUUCAUCUGGUUAAGCCCUUAUGAAGGUUCUGAGCUCCUAGGAGGUCUUCUUGUCUUUAAAGGUUGAAUGUACCUAUGGCAGUACUGAAGAGUAACUGUGGCAGGUCUUGCCUUGGUAAGCCAUACUUCCUGCCAUGGCAACUUUCUGGAAGUGCCAGGAGACUCAAGUUCUUGUAGUUGCCCUGUCUUUCCUGUUUCUAGGUUAGAAUCCAUUUACAGGUCAGUCAGGUUCUCAACCAAACUUGAUUUCUCCUGAGUGGCAGACAAGCUAAAUGAAUCAUGUACUUGUUACUCCAGGAUAUUUAUCAAAAUUUAUCUUCAGACUGAAGUAGCUUGAUACAGAUUUGAAUAUCUUCAGCAUUCUUAGAUGAACUACGUGCACUGUUCUGUCUCUUUUCCUCUAAGGCAGAUUCCUUAGAACACACAGUGUGCUCACAGUAUUUGCAGUGAAGGACACGGUGCUUCAGAUGUGGAUUACUUGAGUAGAAAGAAAUAAUAUCAUGCCUUGAUUUGGUAGCCAUACUUCUACUAAGGCGGUCCAGUAUGUGAUUAUUGCUUCAAAGAUACACAGCUCACUCAUAUUCUGCUUCUUGUCCACCAGGACUCCUCAGAAUUUUUCCAGGCUUGUCUUCUCUCUAAUUGUCUUCUCUUCUUGUCGUUAUCGAACACUUCAACUUCCCAGGUAUCAACUGGGAAUACCAUACUGAUGUGACAGGCAAGUCUGGGAAAUUCCUGAAGUAUGUUAAAGAUAAUUUCUUGUCUGGUGAAGGUAAUUUCCUGUAAGUACUCAGUGAGUCAACUAGGAAAGAUGCCCUUCUGGACUUGUUAUUUGUGAAUAGAGAAGGACUUGUGGGAGAUGUGAGUGUAGGUGGCUGUAUCGGCUGCAGAGAUCACAAAAUAGUUCAGUUUAAAAAUUUUGAUAUAAUGAGAAAAAUGGUCAGCACAGUUGCUACCCUGGAUUUCAAGAGAGCUAACUUUAAGCUACUAGUGAGCUAGUUAGCAGUGUCCCCUGCAGAUCUGCUUCUGAGGGCUUAGGGAUCCAUGAGUAAUGGUCAGUUUUUAAGAACCCCCUUUUAAAAGCUGGAGAGCAGGCAGUUGCUUUGUGUUGAAAGUCCAGCAAGCAGCACAGAAGACCAGGUUGGCUGAACAGGGCAUUCCUCUUGGAACUCAGGAGGAAAAAGAAAUUGUAUGGUCCUGGGAAGCAAGGUCAGGAUUUGCAGGAAGAUUAUAGAAUCAUAGAAUGGUUUGGGUUGGAAGGGACCUUUAAAGAUCAUCUAGUUCCAAUCCCUAUGCCAUGGGCAGGGACACCUUCCACUAGACCGAGUUUCUCAAAGCCCCAUCCAACCUGGCCUUGAACACUGCCAGGGAUGGGGCAGCCACAACUUUUUUGGUCAGCCUGUUCCAGUGGCUCACCACCGUCACAGUAAAUAACUUAUUCCUCAUAUCUAAUAUAAGUCUACCCUCUUUCAGUUUAAAGCCAUUUCCCCUUGUCCUAUCACUACACACAAUUGUAAAAAGUCCCUCUCCGGGUUUCUUGUAGGCCACUUUAUGCACUGGAAGCUGCCCUGAGGUCUUUCCAGAGCCUUCUCUUCUCCAGGCUGAACAAGCCCAACCCUCUGAGCCUGUAUUUGUACGAGAGGUGCCCCAGCCCUAUGAUCGUUUUUGUGGCCCUCCUC